AACUUUCGGCAAUGGAUCUCUUGGUUCUGGCAUCGAUGAAGAAUGCAGCGAAAUGCGAUAAGUAGUGUGAAUUGCAGAAUUCAGUGAAUCAUCGAAUCUUUGAACGCACAUUGCGCCCCUCGGUAUCCCGGGGGGCAUGCCUGUUCGAGCGUCAUUUCUACCAUUCAAGCUUUGCUUGGUUUUGGGUAUUGUAGCACUCUUAAACUUGGAGUUCUACAUACCUUAAAUGUAGACGGCAGCAAAUAUAAGUUCUGAGCGUAGCAGUAAAAUCAUUUCGCUUUAAGAAACUAUAUUUUGUUAACCGAAAUAAAGUAUAUUUACAGUUUGACCUCGGAUCAGGCAGGGAUACCCGCUGAACUUAAGCAUAUCAAUAAGCGGAGGCU
RNAcentral lists this unclassified non-coding RNA (383 nucleotides) under uncultured Pleosporales. RNAcentral describes it as "sequence contains ITS2". The stretch from base 1 to 154 matches the Rfam family "5.8S ribosomal RNA". The record is from RNAcentral. Lineage: Eukaryota; Fungi; Ascomycota; Dothideomycetes; Pleosporales.